GGACCGGUGGGUGAGUUGGCUUAAACCACAUCCCUGCUAAGGAUGCGUAGCCGCAAGGUUACCGAGGGUUCGAAUCCCUCCCUGUCCGCCA
This 91-nucleotide transfer RNA is filed under the name Helicobacter enhydrae. Its description in RNAcentral is "Helicobacter sp. MIT 01-6242 tRNA-Ser". It matches the Rfam family "tRNA". Rfam says of the family: Transfer RNA (tRNA) molecules are approximately 80 nucleotides in length. Lineage: Bacteria; Pseudomonadati; Campylobacterota; Epsilonproteobacteria; Campylobacterales; Helicobacteraceae. The record is from RNAcentral.